Molecule: ribosomal RNA, 497 nt
Filed under: uncultured bacterium
Lineage: Bacteria
Description: partial 16S ribosomal RNA
Rfam family: Bacterial small subunit ribosomal RNA
Source: RNAcentral
GAUGAACGCUGGCGGCGUGCCUAAUACAUGCAAGUCGAGCGAACAGACGAGGAGCUUGCUCCUCUGACGUUAGCGGCGGACGGGUGAGUAACACGUGGAUAACCUACCUAUAAGACUGGGAUAACUUCGGGAAACCGGAGCUAAUACCGGAUAAUAUAUUGAACCGCAUGGUUCAAUAGUGAAAGACGGUUUUGCUGUCACUUAUAGAUGGAUCCGCGCCGCAUUAGCUAGUUGGUAAGGUAACGGCUUACCAAGGCAACGAUGCGUAGCCGACCUGAGAGGGUGAUCGGCCACACUGGAACUGAGACACGGUCCAGACUCCUACGGGAGGCAGCAGUAGGGAAUCUUCCGCAAUGGGCGUAAGCCUGACGGAGCAACGCCGCGUGAGUGAUGAAGGUCUUCGGAUCGUAAAACUCUGUUAUUAGGGAAGAACAAAUGUGUAAGUAACUAUGCACGUAUUGACGGUACCUAAUCAGAAAGCCACGGCUAACUACGUG